AAAACAUGUCUUUUUGUAUUAAAUGUAAAGUCUAACCUGCCCACUGAAUUUUAAAUGGCCGCAGUAUACUAACUGUGCAAAGGUAGCAUAAUCAUUAGUCUUUUAAUUGAAGGCUGGUAUGAAUGGUUGGACGAUAUAUUAACUGUUUCAUUUAAAUUUUUAUUAGAAUUUUAUUUUUUAGUCAAAAAGCUAAAAUUUAUUUAAAAGACGAGAAGACCCUAUAAAUCUUUAUAUUUUAUUUAUAUUAAUUAAUUAGAUUUUUAUUAUUUUUAUAAAUUAAAGUAUUUUAUUGGGGUGAUAUUAAAAUUUAAGGACCUUUUAAUUUUUUAAAAACAUUAAUUUAUGAUUAGUUGAUCCGUUAAUAACGAUUAAAAAUUUAAGUUACUUUAGGGAUAACAGCGUAAUUUUUUUGGAGAGUUCAUAUCGAUAAAAAAGAUUGCGACCUCGAUGUUGGAUUAAGAUAUAAGUUUAGGCGCAGUAGUUUAAAUUUUAAGUCUGUUCGACUUUUAAUUUCUU
Molecule: ribosomal RNA, 516 nt
Filed under: Pherbellia schoenherri
Lineage: Eukaryota; Metazoa; Arthropoda; Insecta; Diptera; Sciomyzidae
Description: partial 16S ribosomal RNA
Rfam family: Bacterial large subunit ribosomal RNA
Source: RNAcentral